This 353-nucleotide transfer-messenger RNA is filed under the name Christensenellaceae. Its description in RNAcentral is "UBA1259 sp017612915 Standard tmRNA". It matches the Rfam family "transfer-messenger RNA". From Rfam's summary of the family: Bacterial tmRNA, also known as 10Sa RNA or SsrA, is named for its dual tRNA and mRNA-like properties. Its role is to liberate the mRNA from a stalled ribosome. Lineage: Bacteria; Bacillati; Bacillota; Clostridia; Christensenellales. The record is from RNAcentral. RNAcentral also lists the same sequence under 1 other name.
GGGGGUGUUAUAGAUUCGAUUGUGCGAGUGAGUUAAAGUGCAAGCAUACCGAAGGCUCGGCUUCGUAAAAACGAGACUUUAAAUUUAAAUGCUAACAAUCAGAAAUUAGCAUACGCAGCGUAGUCGCGCGUACGUUCUUCCGCACUUUUCCCGUCGGGAGCGGUAAGAGCGUCAUUAAGGCGGGGAACGGCUUUAAUCGUUUUGGCAGCGGCGUUGAAGCGGAAUUCAGUUGUUAUGGAAAGAUCAAAGCCCGCCGAUGGGCGUGAUCUUUCCGAGAUCAAACGUCGGAUAAGUAUGUAGAAAACUUUAACGAAGCGUGCAAGACCGGAGUGCAAGUCUCCGCAUCUCCACCA